UGGCGGCAGGGGUAACACAUGCAAGUCGAACGCCCCGCAAGGGGAGUGGCAGACGGGUGAGUAACGCGUGGGAACGUACCUUUCGCUUCGGAAUAUUCCCGGGAAACUGGGAGCAAUGCCGAAUACGCCGUAUUGGGAAAGAUUUAUCGGCGAAAGAUCGGCCCGCGUUAGAUUAGGUAGUUGGCGGUGUAAUGGACCACCAAGCCUACGAUCUAUAGCUGGUCUGAGAGGAUGAUCAGCCACACUGGGACUGAGACACGGNCCAGACUCCUACGGGAGGCAGCAGUGGGGAAUCUUGGACAAUGGGCGCAAGCCUGAUCCAGCCAUGCCGCGUGAGUGAAGAAGGCCUUAGGGUUGUAAAACUC
Molecule: ribosomal RNA, 365 nt
Filed under: uncultured bacterium
Lineage: Bacteria
Description: bacterial SSU rRNA
Rfam family: Bacterial small subunit ribosomal RNA
Source: RNAcentral